UUUGUCAGUGAUGAUUCUCCAGUUAUUAGUUUUGAGUUUAACUACCAUGAGGAUACUUAACAUGCACUACCAUCUGAGACGGG
This is a small nucleolar RNA of Gadus morhua (Atlantic cod), 83 nucleotides long. Lineage: Eukaryota; Metazoa; Chordata; Actinopteri; Gadiformes; Gadidae. The record is from Ensembl.